This 502-nucleotide ribosomal RNA is filed under the name uncultured bacterium. RNAcentral's name for it is "bacterial SSU rRNA". It matches the Rfam family "Bacterial small subunit ribosomal RNA", at positions 28 to 528 of the family's 1533-position model. The record is from RNAcentral.
GAUGAACGCUAGCGGCAGGCUUAACACAUGCAAGUCGAGGGGCAGCGCGGGUAGCAAUACCUGGCGGCGACCGGCAAACGGGUGCGGAACACGUACAGAACCUACCUUUGUCUGGGGCAUAGCCCGGAGAAAUCCGGAUUAACUCCCCAUAAUAUAUUUGAGUGGCAUCACUUGGAUAUUAAAAAUUUAUUGGACAGAGAUGGCUGUGCGUCCCAUUAGCUAGUUGGUAGGGUAACGGCCUACCAAGGCAACGAUGGGUAGCUGGUGUGAGAGCACGACCAGCCACACGGGCACUGAGACACGGGCCCGACUCCUACGGGAGGCAGCAGUGAGGAAUAUUGGUCAAUGGACGCAAGUCUGAACCAGCCAUGCCGCGUGAAGGAUGAAGGCCUUCUGGGUUGUAAACUUCUUUACCUGGGAAGAAACUACGAUUUCUAUCGUAGCCGACGGUACCAGAGGAAUAAGCACCGGCUAACUCCGUGUCAGCAGCCGCGGUAAACGU